Oncorhynchus keta (chum salmon) is the source of this 420-nucleotide long non-coding RNA. RefSeq lists it as uncharacterized. The record is from RefSeq and is a predicted model, not a curated record. The transcript has 3 exons. Lineage: Eukaryota; Metazoa; Chordata; Actinopteri; Salmoniformes; Salmonidae.
GGGUGAUGGGGACUGUAGGGAGUGAAGGGUUAGGGUAGGGGAUGAUGGGACUGUAGGGAGUGAAGGGUUAGGGUAGGGGGUGAUGGGACUGUAGGGAGUGAAGGGUUAGGGUAGGGGAUGAUGGGACAGUAGGGGUGAAGGGGUUAGGGUAGGGGGUGAUGGGACUGUAGGGAGUGAAGGGUUAGGGUAGGGGAUGAUGGGACAGUAGGGGGUGAAGGGUUAGGAUAGGGGGUGAUGGGACUAUAGGGAGUGAAGGGUUAGGGUAGGGGGUGAUGGGACUUAGGGGUUAGGGUAGGGGGUGAUGGGACUGUAGGGAGUGAAGGGUUAGGGUAGGGGGUGAUGGGACUGUAGGGAGUGAAGGGUUAGGGUAGGGGGUGAUGGGACUGUAGGGAGUGAAGGGUUAGGGUAGGGGGUGAUGGG